This 21-nucleotide ribosomal RNA is filed under the name Cladosporium herbarum. Its description in RNAcentral is "partial 18S ribosomal RNA". The record is from RNAcentral. Lineage: Eukaryota; Fungi; Ascomycota; Dothideomycetes; Cladosporiales; Cladosporiaceae.
UGGAAGUUAAAGUCGUAACAA